RNAcentral lists this ribosomal RNA (1372 nucleotides) under uncultured bacterium. RNAcentral describes it as "bacterial SSU rRNA". It matches the Rfam family "Bacterial small subunit ribosomal RNA", at positions 28 to 1381 of the family's 1533-position model. The record is from RNAcentral.
GAUGAACGCUGGCGGCGUGCCUAAUACAUGCAAGUCGAGCGAACGGACGAGAAGCUUGCUUCUCUGAUGUUAGCGGCGGACGGGUGAGUAACACGUGGAUAACCUACCUAUAAGACUGGGAUAACUUCGGGAAACCGGAGCUAAUACCGGAUAAUAUUUUGAACCGCAUGGUUCAAAAGUGAAAGACGGUCUUGCUGUCACUUAUAGAUGGAUCCGCGCUGCAUUAGCUAGUUGGUAAGGUAACGGCUUACCAAGGCAACGAUGCAUAGCCGACCUGAGAGGGUGAUCGGCCACACUGGAACUGAGACACGGUCCAGACUCCUACGGGAGGCAGCAGUAGGGGAUCUUCCGCAAUGGGCGAAAGCCUGACGGAGCAACGCCGCGUGAGUGAUGAAGGUCUUCGGAUCGUAAAACUCUGUUAUUAGGGAAGAACAUAUGUGUAAGUAACUGUGCACAUCUUGACGGUACCUAAUCAGAAAGCCACGGCUAACUACGUGCCAGCAGCCGCGGUAAUACGUAGGUGGCAAGCGUUAUCCGGAAUUAUUGGGCGUAAAGCGCGCGUAGGCGGUUUUUUAAGUCUGAUGUGAAAGCCCACGGCUCAACCGUGGAGGGUCAUUGGAAACUGGAAAACUUGAGUGCAGAAGAGGAAAGUGGAAUUCCAUGUGUAGCGGUGAAAUGCGCAGAGAUAUGGAGGAACACCAGUGGCGAAGGCGACUUUCUGGGUCUGUACUGACGCUGAUGUGCGAAAGCGUGGGGAUCAAACAGGAUUAGAUACCCUGGUAGUCCACGCCGUAAACGAUGAGUGCUAAGUGUUAGGGGGUUUCCGCCCCUUAGUGCUGCAGCUAACGCAUUAAGCACUCCGCCUGGGGAGUACGACCGCAAGGUUGAAACCCAAAGGAAUUGACGGGGACCCGCACAAGCGGUGGAGCAUGUGGUUUAAUUCGAAGCAACGCGAAGAACCUUACCAAAUCUUGACAUCCUUUGACAACUCUAGAGAUAGAGCCUUCCCCUUCGGGGGACAAAGUGACAGGUGGUGCAUGGUUGUCGUCAGCUCGUGUCGUGAGAUGUUGGGUUAAGUCCCGCAACGAGCGCAACCCUUAAGCUUAGUUGCCAUCAUUAAGUUGGGCACUCUAAGUUGACUGCCGGUGACAAACCGGAGGAAGGUGGGGAUGACGUCAAAUCAUCAUGCCCCUUAUGAUUUGGGCUACGCACGUGCUACAAUGGACAAUACAAAGGGCAGCGAAACCGCGAGGUCAAGCAAAUCCCAUAAAGUUGUUCUCAGUUCGGAUUGUAGUCUGCAACUCGACUACAUGAAGCUGGAAUCGCUAGUAAUCGUAGAUCAGCAUGCUACGGUGAAUACGUUCCCGGGUCU